GGCAACGUGGCCGAGUGGUCUAAGGCGCUGGAAUUAGGAGACUUUCCCAAAAAGGAAUCUUACGUAAUAUCCAGUCCUGCGGGGCGUGAGUUCGAACCUCACCGUUGUCA
Molecule: non-coding RNA, 110 nt
Organism: Armillaria borealis
Lineage: Eukaryota; Fungi; Basidiomycota; Agaricomycetes; Agaricales; Physalacriaceae
Source: the annotation of a GenBank genome assembly